This 699-nucleotide long non-coding RNA is filed under the name Sus scrofa (pig). RNAcentral's name for it is "lncRNA (ENSSSCG00070024503.1)". Lineage: Eukaryota; Metazoa; Chordata; Mammalia; Artiodactyla; Suidae. The record is from RNAcentral.
GACCCGCUCGGCUCCCGCCUCGGAGCCGGGGGGCUGGGACGCCGCUCCCCGCAGCCAAUCAGCAACGGCCUGGAAGCGCUGGAGGGAGGAGUGGGGAUGCUCGGGAGGAGGGGGUCCCAGAGGCUCCUCGCGGAUCCAGUUUCUGGAGAGGAGAUGGAGUUAGACCUGGAAACCCCAGAGGAAGACGAGACUUUCACUGGACAUUUGAUGUGCGUUCUUCAGGACUGGUCACAUAAUUGCAGGGCCCGAGGCAAAAAUGAAAAUAUGGGGCCCCUUGUUCAAAAAUGAAGAAUUUCAAGGCAGCCACAGCAGAACGUGAAACCGAAUACGGAGCCUUUCUAAAUGAGACAGCACAGACCACAUGCCCUGAAGCUGGUCCUGCUUAGGGUGAAGAACCCUGUCUGGGGGACAAAGCCAUCAUCCAAGCUGCACCUGGACAAGUUUCCUCAAGAAGUGGAGAAAGUUGGCCAUGGAGAGGUGAAGCAAAAACGGCCACGGUCUGAGAAAAACGGAGGUGAGGGUUGGGGAGUGUGUGUGUGUGUGGUGGGUGUGUAUUUGUGCAUGGUAUGCACCUGAAUGUUUUUGUGUACACAUGCACAUGCCUGUGUGAUGUAUCUGUACAACUGUUGUAUAUAUAUAUUUUUGUCUUUUUAAGGCUGCAUUGCAGGUAUUUGGACGUUCCCAAGUGAGGGGUCAAAU